AAAUCAAAAUACAAUGCAUUGUUACGAAUAUAGACAAGAUGAAAACCACAUUAGGUACACGAAGAUGUUACCAUGAAUAGAAGAAAUAAGUUAACCCAUUUCUGACGAAAACAGCCAAACAAGAAGAAAACAGAACUGAUGAUGAUUUCAUUCACUUGUGCCAUGUUUGCUAAGGACCUGUGAAAAAGAAUUUGUAAUGAUCAAAGAAGAAAACAACCAGUAAAUAUAUUCCUCUGAGGUAGGAAAACAAAGCAACAACUGAAAGGGUGCAACGAGAGACUGUUUCCUGAAGUUAUUUCUUUGAUUGAUUAGAAAUCAUUUACAAACAGUAAAACUAAUUUGCUUGAAAAUAUAUAAAUAUUUA
Long non-coding RNA from Saccostrea cuccullata (small rock oyster), 364 nucleotides. RefSeq lists it as uncharacterized. NCBI's taxonomy places the organism in Eukaryota, Metazoa, Mollusca, Bivalvia, Ostreida, Ostreidae. The transcript is spliced from 3 exons. The record is from RefSeq and is a predicted model, not a curated record.